AUAUCAAUAAGCGGAGGAAAAGAAACCAACAGGGAUUGCCCUAGUAACGGCGAGUGAAGCGGCAACAGCUCAAAUUUGAAAUCUGGCCCUCGGGUCCGAAUUGUAAUUUGUAGAGGAUGCUUUUGGUGAGGUACCUUCCGAGUUCCCUGGAACGGGACGCCAUAGAGGGUGAGAGCCCCGUCUGGUUGGAUACCGAUCCUCUGUAAAGCUCCUUCGACGAGUCGAGUAGUUUGGGAAUGCUGCUCUAAAUGGGAGGUAUAUGUCUUCUAAAGCUAAAUAUUGGCCAGAGACCGAUAGCGCACAAGUAGAGUGAUCGAAAGAUGAAAAGCACUUUGAAAAGAGAGUUAAAAAGUAC
Molecule: ribosomal RNA, 355 nt
Filed under: uncultured fungus
Lineage: Eukaryota; Fungi
Description: eukaryotic LSU rRNA
Rfam family: Eukaryotic large subunit ribosomal RNA
Source: RNAcentral